AUACGUAGGGGACGAGCGUUGUCCGGAAUUACUGGGCGUAAAGGGCGCGCAGGCGGAUAUUUAAGUCAGCUGUAAAAGGCAUGAGCUCAACUCAUGUAUGCGGUUGAAACUGGGUAUCUAGAGUGCUGGUGAGGUAGGCGGAAUUCCCGGGGUAGCGGGUAAAUGCGUAGAUACCGGGAAGAACACCAGUGGCGAAGGCGGCUUACUGGCCAGCAACUGACGCUGAGGCGCGAAAGCCAGGGGAGCGAACGGGAUUAGAUACCCCGGUAGUCCUGGCCGUAAACGAUGAAUGCUAGGUGUGGGUGUCGAGAGGCAUCCGUGCCGGAGUUAACGCGAUAAGCAUUCCGCCUGGGGAGUACGAUCGCAAGAUUGAAACUCAAAGGAAUUGACGGGG
This 394-nucleotide ribosomal RNA is filed under the name uncultured bacterium. Its description in RNAcentral is "partial 16S ribosomal RNA". It matches the Rfam family "Bacterial small subunit ribosomal RNA", at positions 523 to 918 of the family's 1533-position model. The record is from RNAcentral.